This 440-nucleotide ribosomal RNA is filed under the name uncultured bacterium. RNAcentral describes it as "partial 16S ribosomal RNA". It matches the Rfam family "Bacterial small subunit ribosomal RNA", at positions 338 to 795 of the family's 1533-position model. The record is from RNAcentral.
CCUACGGGUGGCAGCAGUGGGGAAUAUUGCACAAUGGGGGGAACCCUGAUGCAGCGACGCCGCGUGAGUGAAGAAGUAUUUCGGUAUGUAAAGCUCUAUCAGCAGGGAAGAAAAUGACGGUACCUGACUAAGAAGCCCCGGCUAACUACGUGCCAGCAGCCGCGGUAAUACGUAGGGGGCAAGCGUUAUCCGGAUUCACUGGGUGUAAAGGGAGCGUAGACGGCGAGACAAGUCUGGAGUGAAAGGUCGGGGCCCAACCCCGGGACUGCUCUGGAAACUGCCUGGCUGGAGUACAGGAGAGGUAAGUGGAAUGCCUAGGGUAGCAGUGAAAUGCGUAGAUAUUAGGAGGAACACCAGUGGCGAAGGCGGCUUACUGGACUGUAACUGACGUUGAGGCUCGAAAGCGUGGGGAGCAAACAGGAUUAGAUACCCCAGUAGUC